CAUUGGUUGGGAGUUGUAAACUCGGGUAAUUUUUGAGNUGNNCUGCGGAGGGAUCAUUACCGAGUUUACAACUCCCAAACCCAAUGUGAACGUUACCAAACUGUUGCCUCGGCGGGAUCUCUGCCCCGGGUGCGUCGCAGCCCCGGACCAAGGCGCCCGCCGGAGGACCAACCAAAACUCUUUUUGUAUACCCCCUCGCGGGUUUUUUUAUAAUCUGAGCCUUCUCGGCGCCUCUCGUAGGCGUUUCGAAAAUGAAUCAAAACUUUCAACAACGGAUCUCUUGGUUCUGGCAUCGAUGAAGAACGCAGCGAAAUGCGAUAAGUAAUGUGAAUUGCAGAAUUCAGUGAAUCAUCGAAUCUUUGAACGCACAUUGCGCCCGCCAGUAUUCUGGCGGGCAUGCCUGUCCGAGCGUCAUUUCAACCCUCGAACCCCUCCGGGGGGUCGGCGUUGGGGAUCGGCCCUCCCUUAGCGGGUGGCCGUCUCCGAAAUACAGUGGCGGUCUCGCCGCAGCCUCUCCUGCGCAGUAGUUUGCACACUCGCAUCGGGAGCGCGGCGCGUCCACAGCCGUUAAACACCCAACUUCUGAAAUGUUGACCUCGGAUCAGGUAGGAAUACCCGCUGAACUUAAGCAUAUCAANNGNAGGAAAAANUACCCAGUUUACACUCCCAAACCAAUG
This 677-nucleotide ribosomal RNA is filed under the name Trichoderma harzianum. RNAcentral's name for it is "eukaryotic LSU rRNA". The stretch from base 261 to 414 matches the Rfam family "5.8S ribosomal RNA". The record is from RNAcentral. Lineage: Eukaryota; Fungi; Ascomycota; Sordariomycetes; Hypocreales; Hypocreaceae.